GGUGAGUAACACGUAUCCAACCUGCCGUCUACUCUUGGACAGCCUUCUGAAAGGAAGAUUAAUACAAGAUGGCAUCAUGAGUCCGCAUGUUCACAUGAUUAAAGGUGUUCCGGUAGACGAUGGGGAUGCGUUCCAUUAGAUAGUAGGCGGGGUAACGGCCCACCUAGUCUUCGAUGGAUAGGGGUUCUGAUAGGAAGGUCCCCCACAUUGGAACUGAGACACGGUCCAA
RNAcentral lists this ribosomal RNA (229 nucleotides) under uncultured bacterium. Its description in RNAcentral is "partial 16S ribosomal RNA". It matches the Rfam family "Bacterial small subunit ribosomal RNA", at positions 105 to 334 of the family's 1533-position model. The record is from RNAcentral.